RNAcentral lists this ribosomal RNA (349 nucleotides) under uncultured bacterium. RNAcentral describes it as "partial 16S ribosomal RNA". It matches the Rfam family "Bacterial small subunit ribosomal RNA", at positions 338 to 698 of the family's 1533-position model. The record is from RNAcentral.
CCUACGGGGGGCAGCAGUCGAGAAUUAUUCACAAUGGGGGAAACCCUGAUGGUGCGACGCCGCGUGGGGGAAUGAAGGUCUUCGGAUUGUAAACCCCUGUCAUGUGGGAGCAAAUUAAAAAGAUAGUACCACAAGAGGAAGAGACGGCUAACUCUGUGCCAGCAGCCGCGGUAAUACAGAGGUCUCAAGCGUUGUUCGGAAUCACUGGGCGUAAAGCGUGGGUAGGCUGUUUCGUAAGUCGUGUGUGAAAGGCGCGGGCUCAACCCGCGGACGGCACAUGAUACUGCAAGACUAGAGUAGUGGAGGGGGAACCGGAAUUAGCGGAGUAGCAGUGAAAUGCGUAGAUAUC